GAUUAGUAAAAUUAGCCGAAUAACCAGCAGAGCUGGUUAUUCGGCUAAUAGUGCUAAACGCAGUAA
This 66-nucleotide unclassified non-coding RNA is filed under the name Latilactobacillus curvatus. Lineage: Bacteria; Bacillati; Bacillota; Bacilli; Lactobacillales; Lactobacillaceae. The record is from RNAcentral.